This 1554-nucleotide ribosomal RNA is filed under the name Escherichia coli. RNAcentral's name for it is "bacterial SSU rRNA". It matches the Rfam family "Bacterial small subunit ribosomal RNA". Lineage: Bacteria; Pseudomonadati; Pseudomonadota; Gammaproteobacteria; Enterobacterales; Enterobacteriaceae. The record is from RNAcentral.
AAAUUGAAGAGUUUGAUCAUGGCUCAGAUUGAACGCUGGCGGCAGGCCUAACACAUGCAAGUCGAACGGUAACAGGAAGCAGCUUGCUGCUUUGCUGACGAGUGGCGGACGGGUGAGUAAUGUCUGGGAAACUGCCUGAUGGAGGGGGAUAACUACUGGAAACGGUAGCUAAUACCGCAUAACGUCGCAAGACCAAAGAGGGGGACCUUCGGGCCUCUUGCCAUCGGAUGUGCCCAGAUGGGAUUAGCUAGUAGGUGGGGUAACGGCUCACCUAGGCGACGAUCCCUAGCUGGUCUGAGAGGAUGACCAGCCACACUGGAACUGAGACACGGUCCAGACUCCUACGGGAGGCAGCAGUGGGGAAUAUUGCACAAUGGGCGCAAGCCUGAUGCAGCCAUGCCGCGUGUAUGAAGAAGGCCUUCGGGUUGUAAAGUACUUUCAGCGAGGAGGAAGGCGUUGUGGUUAAUAACCACAGCGAUUGACGUUACUCGCAGAAGAAGCACCGGCUAACUCCGUGCCAGCAGCCGCGGUAAUACGGAGGGUGCAAGCGUUAAUCGGAAUUACUGGGCGUAAAGCGCACGCAGGCGGUUUGUUAAGUCAGAUGUGAAAUCCCCGGGCUCAACCUGGGAACUGCAUUUGAAACUGGCAAGCUUGAGUCUCGUAGAGGGGGGUAGAAUUCCAGGUGUAGCGGUGAAAUGCGUAGAGAUCUGGAGGAAUACCGGUGGCGAAGGCGGCCCCCUGGACGAAGACUGACGCUCAGGUGCGAAAGCGUGGGGAGCAAACAGGAUUAGAUACCCUGGUAGUCCACGCCGUAAACGAUGUCUAUUUGGAGGUUGUGCCCUUGAGGCGUGGCUUCCGGAGCUAACGCGUUAAAUAGACCGCCUGGGGAGUACGGCCGCAAGGUUAAAACUCAAAUGAAUUGACGGGGGCCCGCACAAGCGGUGGAGCAUGUGGUUUAAUUCGAUGCAACGCGAAGAACCUUACCUGGUCUUGACAUCCACGGAAGUUUUCAGAGAUGAGAAUGUGCCUUCGGGAACCGUGAGACAGGUGCUGCAUGGCUGUCGUCAGCUCGUGUUGUGAAAUGUUGGGUUAAGUCCCGCAACGAGCGCAACCCUUAUCCUUUGUUGCCAGCGGUCCGGCCGGGAACUCAAAGGAGACUGCCAGUGAUAAACUGGAGGAAGGUGGGGAUGACGUCAAGUCAUCAUGGCCCUUACGACCAGGGCUACACACGUGCUACAAUGGCGCAUACAAAGAGAAGCGACCUCGCGAGAGCAAGCGGACCUCAUAAAGUGCGUCGUAGUCCGGAUUGGAGUCUGCAACUCGACUCCAUGAAGUCGGAAUCGCUAGUAAUCGUGGAUCAGAAUGCCACGGUGAAUACGUUCCCGGGCCUUGUACACACCGCCCGUCACACCAUGGGAGUGGGUUGCAAAAGAAGUAGGUAGCUUAACCUUCGGGAGGGCGCUUACCACUUUGUGAUUCAUGACUGGGGUGAAGUCGUAACAAGGUAACCGUAGGGGAACCUGCGGUUGGAUCACCUCCUUACCUUAAAGAAGC